This 406-nucleotide ribosomal RNA is filed under the name uncultured bacterium. Its description in RNAcentral is "partial 16S ribosomal RNA". It matches the Rfam family "Bacterial small subunit ribosomal RNA", at positions 30 to 526 of the family's 1533-position model. The record is from RNAcentral.
AUUGAACGCUGGCGGCAGGCCUAACACAUGCAAGUCGAACGAGCGUGGGACGGGUGAGUAAUAUCCUGGAAACUGCCUGAUGGAGGGGGGUAACUCCUGGAAACGCUAGCUAUUACCCCAUACCAUCAAAUAUGCCCCGCUGGGAUUUGCUAGUAGGUGGGGUAACGGCGCACCCAGGCGACGAUCCCUCGCUGGUCUGAGAGGAUGACCAGCCACACUGUGACGGAGACACGGUCCAGACUCCUACGGGAGGCAGCAGUGGGGAAUAUUGCACAAGGGGCGCAAGCCUGAUGCAGCCAUGCCGCGUGUGUGAAGAAGGCCUUCGGGUUGUAAAGUACUUUCAGCGGGGAGGCGUUACCCGCAGAAGAAGCACCGGCUAACUCCGUGCCAGCAGCCGCGGUAAUUC